This 305-nucleotide ribosomal RNA is filed under the name uncultured bacterium. RNAcentral describes it as "bacterial SSU rRNA". It matches the Rfam family "Bacterial small subunit ribosomal RNA", at positions 333 to 653 of the family's 1533-position model. The record is from RNAcentral.
AUGGACCUACGGGGGGCAGCAGUGGGGAAUAUUGCACAACGGGCGCAAGCCUGACCCAGCAACGCCGCGUGAAGGAAGAAGGCUUUCGGGUUGUAAACUUCUUUUAUGAGGGACGAAUAAAGUGACGGUACCUCAUGAAUAAGCCACGGCUAACUACGUGCCAGCAGCCGCGGUAAUACGUAGGUGGCGAGCGUUAUCCGGAAUGAUUGGGCGUAAAGGGUGCGUAGGCGGCCUGCUAAGUCUGGAGUGAAAGGUACCGGCUCAACCGGUACAGGCUCUGGAAACUGGCGGGCUAGAGAGCAGGA